Perognathus longimembris pacificus (Pacific pocket mouse) is the source of this 428-nucleotide long non-coding RNA. RefSeq lists it as uncharacterized. The record is from RefSeq and is a predicted model, not a curated record. The transcript has 3 exons. NCBI's taxonomy places the organism in Eukaryota, Metazoa, Chordata, Mammalia, Rodentia, Heteromyidae.
GCUUGGUACAAACGUAAAGAAAAUAAGAUAUAGUCCCAGAACCAGUGAAAGAAAAGGAACAAAGAAAAAAACAAGUGUUCCCUUUUGAGGACUAGGAAGUCUCUUCGUAGUCUGACUGCCAUACCCCAGGUCUUACAUCUCAAGGACAAGAGUAAUGUUUGUGAAUCUGAUUGUCUCUGAGUCAAUCAGGAAAAGCAAAAGAAAAUGAAGGAAGGUGACUGAGUCCUCACAUAAAAUGGGGAAAAGCCAAAAGCAGACUCCUCAUAAACAUCAAACCCAAAGCAGGACCGAGAGAUUCUCAUUUAUUAGCAAUAAAGAAACCACAAUAUUUUAUGUGGGUUAACUCAUCCAUAGGUUCUUUGCUUAUGGAUAUCAAACUAGUUCAUGUCUCUGUUAUAAGUGUUUAUGUGUGUGUGUGUGUGUGUGUG